AGAAGUGGCUCAAGUAGUCUCAAACUAUAAGAGGCAGACGAUUCGAAUCGAGUUUCUUAACCUUGCAAGGUGAACCUAACCCCAUGACAGAUGCGUACCACGACGGGUCCACACAUGUCAGUCGUUCCCAUCAAUUCCUAGGCACAUGGCCAGGGCCCACUUCCCUUGGGUACAAGGCCUCACGGUCCCAGAAUGUCGCUGUACCAUGACUGCACUUGUACCCACAUGAUGCAUC
Molecule: long non-coding RNA, 235 nt
Filed under: Setaria italica (foxtail millet)
Lineage: Eukaryota; Viridiplantae; Streptophyta; Magnoliopsida; Poales; Poaceae
Description: long non-coding RNA (SITA_LNC001177)
Source: RNAcentral